AAGUUAGAGAUUUGGUCAUUGAAUAUGAGCAAAAAACCUGUGAAACAAAUUUGGGAGAAACUGUUUUUUGUGAAUAUUACAUUACACCAAAUGAAUAUGUUGCUUUUUUGAAUAGAGUCUUUAAAGUUAAAAAUCGUUCUUAAUGUUUUGUUUGAAUUAUAGUAAUUAUACUUUUUAUUAUUAUUUAAAUAUAAAUUAAAUUUUUGAUUUUCCUUAAUUGAUUAUCAGCUCCGGUGACAGGGGCCAUUGGCUUUAUUAUAUUAUAUUUAUUUGUAAUUGCAAUGAUAAAAGCAAAAAAUAAAAUUAAUUUAUAAUUUAA
Long non-coding RNA from Myzus persicae (green peach aphid), 319 nucleotides. RefSeq lists it as uncharacterized. The transcript is spliced from 2 exons. Lineage: Eukaryota; Metazoa; Arthropoda; Insecta; Hemiptera; Aphididae. The record is from RefSeq and is a predicted model, not a curated record.